Molecule: long non-coding RNA, 671 nt
Organism: Oxyura jamaicensis (ruddy duck)
Lineage: Eukaryota; Metazoa; Chordata; Aves; Anseriformes; Anatidae
Exons: 2
Source: RefSeq, a predicted model, not a curated record
UCUUUUUCAUUGGUCUUUUCCUGCAUCAGUGGAUUCAGAACUACAAAACAAAUAAGUAGCAAGUGUUAAUUUGGUGCUUAAACUAAGCCACUGUAAUUUCACACUUGAUGUAUUAUUUUUUAAAAUCUGCACAAAAAGUCUGUGUACUUGAAGUGCUUUACAUUCUGUGGCAUUUCAGCUCCAUCUACUGGUAUGCCACACAUCUUUGAACAAUUAAUUGAAACAUAGUUGGAUAUUGAAAAAAUGCUUCUUUUUUUGGUACUGAGCUUUUAACAGAUUAAUCUCUACUCUUGCUUUGUAGUCAACUCAAACUGUUUCAAAUAGUAAUAAGGUUUUACUGACAAAAAAAAAUCAGAUGCAUCACUAAUCAUAGAAUAAUUUUACAAGUAUACAAAACAGUAGGUUCUGGCCAGAUUUGGUAAGAUCUUAUUCGCAUGGAAACAAGGUAAAUCAAAAGGUAAAAGACAGCUAUAGGCUACAGGUGAAAGCUAUUUACAAAGAACAAAAGGCAUUUAAUAUGUUAAACAAGAUUUUUAGAAAACAAAAGACAUUUCAUAAUGUUUUUUUCUAUAUAUAACUAUAUGUAUUUAUGUAUGAAUUCAAAUUUUACUCAAUUGAAAAAAGUUAUUAGAAGGCAUCAGUGUAAUAGACUAAGAUGACUAGAACUAUUU